GACGAACGCUGGCGGCGUGCUUAACACAUGCAAGUCGAACGGUAAGGCCCUUUCGGGGGUACACGAGUGGCGAACGGGUGCGUAACACGUGGGUGAUCUGCCCUGCACUUUGGGAUAAGCCUGGGAAACUGGGUCUAAUACCGGAUAGGACUACGCGAUGCAUGUCGUGUGGUGGAAAGCUUUUGCGGUGUGGGAUGGGCCCGCGGCCUAUCAGCUUGUUGGUGGGGUGAUGGACUACCAAGGCGACGACGGGUAGCCGGCCUGAGAGGGUGUCCGGCCACACUGGGACUGAGAUACGGCCCAGACGCCUACGGGAGGCAACAGUGGGGAAUAUGGCACAAUGGGCGCAAGCCGGAUGCAGCGACGCCGCGUGGGGGAUGACGGCCUUCGGGUUGUAAACCCCUUUCAGCACAGACGAAGCGUAAGUGACGGUAUGGGCAGAAGAAGCACCGGCCAACUACGU
Molecule: ribosomal RNA, 463 nt
Filed under: uncultured bacterium
Lineage: Bacteria
Description: partial 16S ribosomal RNA
Rfam family: Bacterial small subunit ribosomal RNA
Source: RNAcentral